GGUUUAUUUAUCGGUAGAUUGCAAAUUUACUAAAGCUUAGAGCAUAAGCCU
Molecule: transfer RNA, 51 nt
Filed under: Proasellus cantabricus
Lineage: Eukaryota; Metazoa; Arthropoda; Malacostraca; Isopoda; Asellidae
Description: transfert RNA-C(TGC)
Source: RNAcentral